GGUUGAAUAGUGUAGUUGGUUAUCACAUCGGAUUUUGACCAGAAUUCUCUGAAUUCGUCGAAAGCUUUCCGGGGACCCGGGUUCGAAUCCCAGUUCGACCU
Molecule: transfer RNA, 101 nt
Filed under: Orbilia oligospora ATCC 24927
Lineage: Eukaryota; Fungi; Ascomycota; Orbiliomycetes; Orbiliales; Orbiliaceae
Description: Arthrobotrys oligospora ATCC 24927 tRNA
Rfam family: tRNA
About the family: Transfer RNA (tRNA) molecules are approximately 80 nucleotides in length.
Source: Rfam by way of RNAcentral